GGUGUAUGUAGUUCAGCUGGUUAGAAUACUGGCUUGUGACGUCAGUGGUCGAGAGUUCGAGUCUCUCCAUACACCCCAA
Molecule: transfer RNA, 79 nt
Filed under: Erwinia phage vB_EamM_Stratton
Lineage: Duplodnaviria; Heunggongvirae; Uroviricota; Caudoviricetes; Chimalliviridae
Description: tRNA-His
Rfam family: tRNA
About the family: Transfer RNA (tRNA) molecules are approximately 80 nucleotides in length.
Source: RNAcentral